AGAGCGAACGCUGGCGGCAGGCCUAACACAUGCAAGUCGAGCGCCCGUAGCAAUACGGGAGCGGCAGACGGGAUAGUAACACGUGGGAACGCGCCCUUCGGUUCGGAAUAACUCAGGGAAACUUGAGCUAAUACCGGAUACGCCCUUACGGGGAAAGAUUUAUUGCCGAAGGAACGGCCCGCGUCCGAUUAGCUAGUUGGUGAGGUAAUGGCUCACCAAGGCGACGAUCGGUAGCUGGUCUGAGAGGAUGACCAGCAUCACUGGGACUGAGACACGGCCCAGACUCCUACGGGAGGCAGCAGUGGGGAAUAUUGGACAAUGGGCGCAAGCCUGAUCCAGCCAUGCCGCGUGGAUGAUGAAGGCCUUAGGGUUGUAAAGUCCGUUUUAACGGGGAAGAUAAUGACGGUACCGUAGAAUAAGCCCCGGCUAACUUCGCGCCAGCAGCCGC
Molecule: ribosomal RNA, 448 nt
Filed under: uncultured bacterium
Lineage: Bacteria
Description: SSU rRNA
Rfam family: Bacterial small subunit ribosomal RNA
Source: RNAcentral